UUGGAGGGCAAGUCUGGUGCCAGCAGCCGCGGUAAUUCCAGCUCCAAUAGCGUAUAUUAAAGUUGUUGCAGUUAAAAAGCUCGUAGUUGAAUUUCGGGAUCAGACUGUCGGUCGUGCCUCGGUACGCACUGGCAUUAUUGGUUCCUACCUUCUGAAGAACCGCGACGUCAUUAAUUUGGUGUCGUGGGGAAUCAGGACUGUUACUUUGAAAAAAUUAGAGUGUUUAAAGCAGGCAUUUUUGCUCGAAUACAUUAGCAUGGAAUAAUAGAAUAGGACGGCAUGGUUCUAUUUUGUUGGUUUCUAGGAUCACCGUAAUGACUAAUAGGGAUAGCUGGGGGCAUUAGUAUUCAAUUGUCAGAGGUGAAAUUCUUGGAUUUAUUGAAGACUAACUACUGCGAAAGCAUUUGCCAAGGAUGUUUUCAUUAAUCAAGAACGAAAGUUAGGGGAUCGAAGACGAUCAGAUACCGUCGUAGUCUUAACCAUAAACUAUGCCGACUAGGAAUCAGACGAUGUUAAUUUUUUAAUGACUCGUUCGGCGCCUUACGGGAAAC
Molecule: ribosomal RNA, 551 nt
Filed under: uncultured Glomeromycotina
Lineage: Eukaryota; Fungi; Glomeromycota
Description: SSU rRNA
Rfam family: Eukaryotic small subunit ribosomal RNA
Source: RNAcentral